AUUGAACGCUGGCGGCAGGCCUAACACAUGCAAGUCGAGCGGAUGAAGGGAGCUUGCUCCUGGAUUCAGCGGCGGGCGGGCGAGUAAUGCCCAGGAAUAUGCCUGGUAGAGGGGGAUAACGUCCGGACACGGGCGCUAAUACCGCAUCCGUCCUGAGGGUGAAAGUGGGGGAUCUUCGGACCUCACGCUAUCAGAUGAGCCUAGGUCGGAUUAGCUAGUUGGUGGGGUAAAGGCCUACCAAGGCGACGAUCCGUAACUGGUCUGAGAGGAUGAUCAGUCACACUGGAACUGAGACACGGUCCAGACUCCUACGGGAGGCAGCAGUGGGGAAUAUUGGACAAUGGGCGAAAGCCUGAUCCAGCCAUGCCGCGUGUGUGAAGAAGGUCUUCGGAUUGUAAAGCACUUUAAGUUGGGAGGAAGGACAGUAAGUUAAUACCUUGCUGUUUUGACGUUACCAACAGAAUAAGCACCGGCUAACUUCGUG
Molecule: ribosomal RNA, 484 nt
Filed under: uncultured bacterium
Lineage: Bacteria
Description: partial 16S ribosomal RNA
Rfam family: Bacterial small subunit ribosomal RNA
Source: RNAcentral